RNAcentral lists this ribosomal RNA (495 nucleotides) under uncultured bacterium. RNAcentral's name for it is "partial 16S ribosomal RNA". It matches the Rfam family "Bacterial small subunit ribosomal RNA", at positions 29 to 506 of the family's 1533-position model. The record is from RNAcentral.
ACGAACGCUGGCGGCGUGCCUAAUACCUGCAAGUUGAGCGCUGAAGGUUGGUACUUGUACCAACUGGAUGAGCAGCGAACGGGUGAGUAACGCGUGGGGAAUCUGCCUUUGAGCGGGGGACAACAUUUGGAAACGAAUGCUAAUACCGCAUAAAAACUUUAAACACAAGUUUUAAGUUUGAAAGAUGCGAUUGCAUCACUCAAAGAUGAUCCCGCGUUGUAUUAGCUAGUUGGUGAGGUAAAGGCUCACCAAGGCGAUGAUACAUAGCCGACCUGAGAGGGUGAUCGGCCACAUUGGGACUGAGACACGGCCCAAACUCCUACGGGAGGCAGCAGUAGGGAAUCUUCGGCAAUGGACGAAAGUCUGACCGAGCAACGCCGCGUGAGUGAAGAAGGUUUUCGGAUCGUAAAACUCUGUUGGUAGAGAAGAACGUUGGUGAGAGUGGAAAGCUCAUCAAGUGACGGUAACUACCCAGAAAGGGACGGCUAACUACGU